Molecule: long non-coding RNA, 276 nt
Organism: Neopsephotus bourkii (Bourke's parrot)
Lineage: Eukaryota; Metazoa; Chordata; Aves; Psittaciformes; Psittacidae
Exons: 3
Source: RefSeq, a predicted model, not a curated record
AGUUCUGGAACAUCCUGGAGCAGUGGCCACGGGGAGAACAACAAUGUAAGAUGAGCCAGGCUGGGCAUGGAAAAUAAUUCAGCUAUCCCAGAUCGCAAUAUAUGAGCAAACACCAGUUCCAGUAGACAUCGUGCAAGCAGUCAGACUACAUGAGGAAAAUGAGGCUAAAAGAGAGAAGUUGAAUUUUUUCUUUGCUGAGAAGAGAGCUAUUCUUUCCCCUAUGAGAAAAUGAGACUUUCACACAAAAGCUGUGUAGGAUCUGAUAAUGCCAACUUU